UACGAAGUGGACUAGCGUUGUUCGGAAUUACUGGGCGUAAAGGGCUCGUAGGUGGCCAACUAAGUCACACGUGAAAUCCCUCGGCUUAACCGAGGAACUGCGUCCGAUACUGCGGUGCUUGAGGAUCAGAGGGGUGCAUGGAAUUUCCGGUGGAGCGGUGAAAUGCGUUGAUAUCGGAAGGAACUCCGGCGGCGAAAGCGAUGCACUGGCUGAUUUCUGACGCUGAGGUGCGAAAGCCAGGGGAGCAAACGGG
RNAcentral lists this ribosomal RNA (253 nucleotides) under uncultured prokaryote. RNAcentral's name for it is "partial 16S ribosomal RNA". It matches the Rfam family "Bacterial small subunit ribosomal RNA", at positions 524 to 776 of the family's 1533-position model. The record is from RNAcentral.